Molecule: ribosomal RNA, 436 nt
Filed under: uncultured Campylobacterota bacterium
Lineage: Bacteria; Pseudomonadati; Campylobacterota
Description: bacterial SSU rRNA
Rfam family: Bacterial small subunit ribosomal RNA
Source: RNAcentral
AGACUGAACGCUGGCGGCGUGCUUAACACAUGCAAGUCGAACGAGAACAUGCAGUAGCAAUACUUGUGAUGCUAAGUGGCGCACGGGUGAGUAAUGUAUAGGUAACAUGCCCUUAAGAGGGGGAUAACAGAGGGAAACCUCUGCUAAUACCCCAUAACCCUUCUUAUCAUAAGAUAAGUUGGCAAAGUUUUUUCGCUUAAGGAUUGGCCUGUAUAAUAUCAGCUUGUUGGUGAAGUAAUGGCUCACCAAAGCUAUGACGCUUAACUGGUCUGAGAGGAUGAUCAGUCCCACUGCAACUGAGACACGGUCCACAAUCCUACGGGAGGCAGCAGUGGGGAAUAUUGCCCAAUGGGGGAAACCCUGAUGCCGCAACGCCGCGUGGAGGAUGACACUUUUCGGACCGUAAACUCCUUUUCUGUUAGAAGAUAAUGACGGU